This 724-nucleotide ribosomal RNA is filed under the name uncultured bacterium. RNAcentral describes it as "bacterial SSU rRNA". It matches the Rfam family "Bacterial small subunit ribosomal RNA", at positions 237 to 963 of the family's 1533-position model. The record is from RNAcentral.
CCUAUUAGCUAGAUGGUAAGGUAACGGCUUACCAUGGCAACGAUAGGUAGGGGUCCUGAGAGGGAGAUCCCCCACACUGGUACUGAGACACGGACCAGACUCCUACGGGAGGCAGCAGUGAGGAAUAUUGGACAAUGGGUGAGAGCCUGAUCCAGCCAUGCCGCGUGCAGGAAGACUGCCCUAUGGGUUGUAAACUGCUUUUAUACAGGAAGAAACACUCCCUCGUGAGGGAGCUUGACGGUACUGUACGAAUAAGGACCGGCUAACUCCGUGCCAGCAGCCGCGGUAAUACGGAGGGUCCAAGCGUUAUCCGGAAUUAUUGGGUUUAAAGGGUCCGCAGGCGGUCAAUUAAGUCAGAGGUGAAAUCCCAUCGCUUAACGAUGGAACUGCCUUUGAUACUGGUUGACUUGAGUUGUACGGAAGUGGAUAGAAUGUGUAGUGUAGCGGUGAAAUGCAUAGAUAUUACACAGAAUACCGAUUGCGAAGGCAGUCCACUACGUAUAUACUGACGCUCAUGGACGAAAGCGUGGGGAGCGAACAGGAUUAGAUACCCUGGUAGUCCACGCCGUAAACGAUGGACACUAGUUGUUGGGCAUUAGCUCAGUGACUAAGCGAAAGUGAUAAGUGUCCCACCUGGGGAGUACGGUCGCAAGAUUGAAACUCAAAGGAAUUGACGGGGGCCCGCACAAGCGGUGGAGCAUGUGGUUUAAUUCGAUGCAACGCG